GGCCGUGUGGUGUAGUGGUAGCAUACUUGCUUUGGGUUCUGAAUUCAGCCUGCAAGUGGUCCCAGGUUCAAGCCCUGGCUCGGCCC
This is a non-coding RNA of Parathielavia appendiculata, 86 nucleotides long. Lineage: Eukaryota; Fungi; Ascomycota; Sordariomycetes; Sordariales; Chaetomiaceae. The record is from the annotation of a RefSeq genome assembly.